GGUUGUGGCUCAGUGGUAGAGCACUUGCCUAGCACAUGUGAGGCACUGGGUUUGAAUCUCAGGACCA
RNAcentral lists this transfer RNA (67 nucleotides) under Marmota monax (woodchuck). Its description in RNAcentral is "tRNA.Ala". The record is from RNAcentral. Lineage: Eukaryota; Metazoa; Chordata; Mammalia; Rodentia; Sciuridae.